GUAAUUUGCAGAGGGCGCUUUGGCAUUGGCAGCGGUCCAAGUUCCUUGGAACAGGACGUCACAGAGGGUGAGAAUCCCGUACGUGGUCGCUAGCCUUUACCGUGUAAAGCCCCUUCGACGAGUCGAGUUGUUUGGGAAUGCAGCUCUGAAUGGGAGGUAAAUUUCUUCUAAAGCUAAAUACUGGCCAGAGACCGAUAGCGCACAAGUAGAGUGAUCGAAAGAUGAAAAGCACUUUGGAAAGAGAGUUAAAAAGCACGUGAAAUUGUUGAAAGGGAAGCGCUUGCAGCCGGACUUGCCUGUAGUUGCUCAUCCGGGUUUUUACCCGGUGCACUCUUCUAUAGGCAGGCCAGCAUCAGUUUGGGCGGUUGGAUAAAGGUCUCUGUCGUGUACCUCUCUUCGGGGAGAACUUAUAGGGGAGACGACAUGCAACCAGCCUGGACUGAGGUCCGCGCAUCUGCUAGGAUGCUGGCGUAAUGGCUGUAAGCGGCCCGUCUUGAAACACGGACCAAGGAGUCUAACAUCUAUGCGAGUGUUUGGGUGUC
Molecule: ribosomal RNA, 542 nt
Filed under: soil fungal sp. DM2-313
Lineage: Eukaryota; Fungi
Description: eukaryotic LSU rRNA
Rfam family: Eukaryotic large subunit ribosomal RNA
Source: RNAcentral